RNAcentral lists this transfer RNA (83 nucleotides) under Caulerpa verticillata. Its description in RNAcentral is "tRNA-Tyr". It matches the Rfam family "tRNA". Rfam says of the family: Transfer RNA (tRNA) molecules are approximately 80 nucleotides in length. Their secondary structure includes four short double-helical elements and three loops (D, anti-codon, and T loops). Further hydrogen bonds mediate the characteristic L-shaped molecular structure. tRNAs have two regions of fundamental functional importance: the anti-codon, which is responsible for specific mRNA codon recognition, and the 3' end, to which the tRNAs corresponding amino acid is attached (by aminoacyl-tRNA synthetases). tRNAs cope with the degeneracy of the genetic code in two manners: having more than one tRNA (with a specific anti-codon) for a particular amino acid; and 'wobble' base-pairing, i.e. permitting non-standard base-pairing at the 3rd anti-codon position. Lineage: Eukaryota; Viridiplantae; Chlorophyta; Ulvophyceae; Bryopsidales; Caulerpaceae. The record is from RNAcentral.
GGGUCGGUGCUCGAGUGGUUAAAGGGGGUGGAUUGUAAAUCCACUGGCAAUUGUCUUCACUGGUUCAAAUCCAGUUCGGCCCA